Molecule: non-coding RNA, 2008 nt
Organism: Nicotiana tabacum (common tobacco)
Lineage: Eukaryota; Viridiplantae; Streptophyta; Magnoliopsida; Solanales; Solanaceae
Source: RefSeq, a predicted model, not a curated record
UUCCCUGUUGAACAGUCGCUUCCUAUAUUGAAAAGUCACAUUCUUCGACAAUUUCUUCUACUCUCUUUCUCCGACGCACACCUGGAACUCGAACUCGUCACCGGAAAUCCAGAAAUAUUUGGGUAGUUUGUUUGGAAUCUUAAGUAGUUUGAUUUUAAAAAAUGCAAAGCGGAGGAGACGAAGUUGGCGUUAAACAAUUUGCUUUGAAUAUCUCUACUUAGGAAGAACAACUUCAGCUGGCAGGGAAAUGGAGAAGGCUUAUCAAACCAGCGACUUCGACAAAUGUUUCCCAACAUAUUUGUGAAGUUCAUUCACAUAGUGAAGACACUUGUGGUCCGGCCUUUUCCCGAACCCCGGCAUAGCUGGAACUUAGUGCACCAGGCUGUCUUUUUAUUCACAUACUGAAGAUAGCCUAUUUUUGAGGUAAACAUCUGAGCUAUCACUCUAAUUUACUGGAAUUUAUUUUUAUUUUCAUUGUAAUAUUUGUUGUUGUCUAUGUUGCUCAGACUCUCUGAAAAUGUGGCCGGAUACGUGUUGGAUCCUCCAGAAGUAGUGCAUUUUUUAAAGAUCCGACACGAGUGUGGCUACAUUUUGGAGAGUCCGCGCAACAUAGGUUGUUGUGGUAUGUAGAAACUUUUUUUUAGAUAAGGGUGGUAUAUAGAACCUUCUUGGCAUAUAUCUGAUGGUAUCUGGUUAGUUUUUUUGAACCUUCAAGACUGCUUCGUAUUCAAAAUUGUGUAUGUUAAUUAUUUCUUGAAUUUAUUCAAAGAUUAUUGGUGUGCCAAUUUGGUAUAAAUCUGUUAUUUCAGUAAGACAUCAUAUUGAGUAUCUAACUCAGUGUAUACAACGAUGAAUUGAUAUGGGCGUGUUUUGCUUUUAUCUUGCCCAAGUAAUAGUCCUUUGAAAAGUAGUAAUCUUUAUGGAUGGAUCAGUUUGUUCAUGAUAUAGAACAUUUAUUUUGUUUAAUUUUUUGAGUUCAACUAGCUAGAUCUAACACAAGUGAAAAGGUUUGAGUAGGAUAAAGGUUGGUAAGUAAUGUACCACUGCUGAAACUUUAGCACCACUACUCGCUAGAGGUAAAUCUCCCCUUCUUAUUUUAUGAAUUUCUUAUAUCUAUCUGUUUGGUUGAUUUUUCAUGUAUUUUUAUAUUCUGAAUUAUUGAUAGUAAAGUCGAGAAGGCGUUUGAUGUGAUAAAUAACAAGGGGAAAGAAGGCACCCAUUAGGUUUAAGAUGGAAAACUCAAAAUUACAUGUGAGCUUUGGAGAAGUUAAAGAAAUAGAAAGUGUAAAGGGGGAAGUCUUGGAAGAGUAUUGGCCUGAUUUUGUAGAGAGAGAAAAAAAGCAGAAAAAUAGAACUGCUAAAUGUGAGAAGAGCGAUGAAGUUAUUUAAGUAGAAACAGGAAGAGCAUGAAUUGCUGAAUGUGAGAAGAGGGAUGAAGUUAUUUAAGUAAAAACAAGAAAAGCAUGGGAGCAAAAGAAGGCAGGCGGUAGUAUGGUGGAAGGUUUUUUUAAGUUUUAUGUUUUCAGGGUUCGUCCUAUUUGGAUCUUCUUUACAGUUGCUAUUUUGGUUCGUAGAUUGUGUAAGAUAAAGAAAAUACAAAGGAUAUGGAGCUGAAUGCUGCAACUGAUGCAAGUGCUUUCUUCAGCGUGUUUCAGAUGUUUCAUAUGGUGAGGGCUCAUGAGCAUGAUCUUGAAGACAGUUUAGUGGAGACGAGCUCCAACAAUAUGGUUUAGAUGUCAUUUGAUAUGUAUUGCUAGAAUUUUAUAUUUUUUUACUAUGAACCCAUAAUGCAGAGCUUGGAAAGGCAGCUCAUGGUCAGAUUCAAUUCUAUGAAUGAAAAAGAAGUCAGCCUUUGAGUGGCAUUACACAUGUGGCAUAUUUUUCGAUUAUAUUUCAUAUGCAAUAUUCUCCGUAUCAGAUGUAAUUUGCGCAUGCAAUCCGCAUGCUUUUACUUGGAAAGGAAGAUGUAUUGUGAGAUUCAAUUCUAUGAAUGAAAAAUAAGUCAGCC